RNAcentral lists this non-coding RNA (127 nucleotides) under Moschus moschiferus (Siberian musk deer). The record is from RNAcentral. Lineage: Eukaryota; Metazoa; Chordata; Mammalia; Artiodactyla; Moschidae.
GUAUUGUAUGAGAGGGGAGAAAAGAUUAGCACUCCCUUGACAAGAAUGGAAGAGGCCCUUGGGCCUGACAACACCCACAUGGUUAAGGCAUUGCCACCUACUUUAUGACACCUAACCACUGCUUUUG